UACGGAGGAUGCGAGCGUUAUCCGGAUUUAUGGGGUUUAAAGGGUGCGUAGGCGGACUGUCAAGUCAGCGGUAAAAUUGAGAGGCUCAACCUCUUCCCGCCGUUGAAACUGGUGGUCUUGAGUGGAUGAGAAGUACGCGGAAUGCGUGGUGUAGCGGUGAAAUGCAUAGAUAUCACGCAGAACUCCGAUUGCGAAGGCAGCGUACCGGCAUCCAACUGACGCUGAGGCACGAAAGCGUGGGGAUCAAACAGG
RNAcentral lists this ribosomal RNA (252 nucleotides) under uncultured bacterium. Its description in RNAcentral is "partial 16S ribosomal RNA". It matches the Rfam family "Bacterial small subunit ribosomal RNA", at positions 524 to 776 of the family's 1533-position model. The record is from RNAcentral.